UAGGGGGGUCCGGGGAACGGGGCCCGCUGCUAUACAUGAAUCACCAGUGCCUGCGAAGCGGGGAAGCCGGUGAGAAUCCGGCACGGUCCCGCCACUGUGACCGGGGAGAAAUCCCCGGAAGUCAGAUUGCCGCCCGCAGGUGUCACGACGAG
This 152-nucleotide non-coding RNA is filed under the name Streptomyces sp. The record is from RNAcentral. Lineage: Bacteria; Bacillati; Actinomycetota; Actinomycetes; Kitasatosporales; Streptomycetaceae.